Long non-coding RNA from Leopardus geoffroyi (Geoffroy's cat), 5656 nucleotides. RefSeq lists it as uncharacterized. The record is from RefSeq and is a predicted model, not a curated record. The transcript is spliced from 3 exons. NCBI's taxonomy places the organism in Eukaryota, Metazoa, Chordata, Mammalia, Carnivora, Felidae.
UUGGUGAGAGGGGUGGGUUAGGAAAGGCUUUUUAGGGGUGAUACCAUGAGGGACAGGUAAGAGUUGGCCAGUUUCAGAGAGAUGGGGAAAGGCCCCGGGAGGAGGCCCAGGGGGACAGGGUGUCCUUGGGUACACAUCUGCAGCUAGUGUAGGGUGACCAGAACAGAGAGGGGGAAUGAAAUGAGGAUAGUCUGGGUUUACUUUGAAGGCACUGGGGAGACGCCAGCGGGCUACAAAUAAGCACGCAGUAGGUGCUUAAUAUACGUUUCCUGAUCAGCACACCAUCUGCCUCCUCUAGCAGACUGAGAGUUUCUCAGUGACAGGGUUAUUCCUUCUUUGUAUAGUCCAGUUCCUCCCCGGUAUGCACUAGGACCAGGUAGGGUUUUCAUCAGUGAAUAAGUGAAUGAAAGAGUAAAUAAAUCCACCCGAGAGAUAACAAUACAAAACCAAAUGGAUCUUUUCAUCCAGACAAAAACUACUCUUUGCUCCCCUGGUUCAGGGAAGUGUGGAAGGUUCGGAUGGGCUCUGAGGGGGGUCUAGAGAACAAAGACCCCCAUCCUCCUGGCGCCUCUCAGCCUCUAGCAGGAGGAAUGUGCAUUGGUGCCAUCUGGCGGCCACAGCGCCCACAUUCUAUUUUAAUCCACUUCCUCUGUUGCUAAGGUGUGGUCAGGCCAGAGAAGGGAACCUGGGAUGGGCAGAAACCUUCUGUCAGCAGACACACAUCCCCACCUGCUCAGGCAGCCCCAGGUCUGCCUGUCCUCGCCCUGCAAGACCUGAGCCCUGAGUCCAAGAGAGUAAUUGAUUUCAGCCCAUGGGACAGAGAAGCCCUUAUCUACAGCCACUCAGACCCUGGUGCUUUCCACAAGGGCCCCCACAGUUCUCAGCAGAUGAUGGAUUCCAGGGGUGAAGAAGCCACGGGAAAGGAGGCAAUGACCAGUGUUUUCCCAAUAUCCUUCGUGUCUUCUUCCUGAGAGAACCCUGAUUUUGUCCAGAGCAGCAAUGUACCCAGUUACAAAUUCCAGACACCCUGAUAGCUAGAAAUUGCCAUGAUGCAUGGAUCUGGCCCAUGAGAUACAGGCAGACAUCUAGGUAGGGUUCUAGGAGACCCACUCUUCUGAGUAAAGAAUCACAGACACAGCUGGCCUCUGCCUUUUGCCCCUUCUCUUUAUUUCCCCUCCUCCUGCCUGAAAGGUGGACAAGAUGCCUGCAGGUGAAUUUGCCUGCCCCCCUUCCCCUGCCACCCAUGAGCAUGAGAACCACAUGCUAUGGAUGUGGAUGGUGAAUUGGAAAGCUACAAAUAGUCCACAUCCUUGACGACUUUUCUUAAGUGUCUCCACAGUCAUCCCAGGCUACUGGGCAUGUCUGGGCAGAGACCCUCACUAAAGUUCUUCUCCGAGAGCAGACACUUCUCUUCUUCCUGCUGAAGAACAUGUCUCUCCCUGACCCAUUGCCUAUGUGUCACAAGAGCAUGAGAAAAAUCUCAUUUGUUAAGGGACCAUACGUAGAUUCCUGUUAUAUUGUCAUCCUAACAUAUAGAGGAUAAGGAUAGGGAACCCAAGUGGAACCUGUAUCCGACAUAAAGAACCAGACAGCAUGGGAUUAAGGUGUGUUCAGAGAAAGCCAGCAUAGGUAUUUUCUCCGGGAGCCAGGAAAUGUCUGUUCAAGAUGAACUCUCUUACUGUAAUGACCUUGGGCAAGUCUUUUGCUUCCUAGCACAUUGGAGGCACUUAAAUGCAUACAUAUUUAAAUAUGUUUGUGUGUAUAUAUACAUAUAUAAUGUGUGUACAUAAAUUACAUAUGUGUGUACAGAUUACAGAUUGUUUGUAAUGAAGAGGGUGUUGGAACUAGUUGAGGACCAUGUCCCUACCGGCUGAAUCAUGUUAUGCCUGUAUGGCCAGGGCCCGGAGACAAUGGCAUACCGGAGUGAUUAAGAACACAAGACUCCCAGGGUGCCUGAGUGGCUCAGUCAGGGUGUCAUUACUGUCAUGUGACUGCAGAUGGCGGAUUAGGGCUUAAUGGCAACUAGCGGGGAGCCUGGGGGGCUGUGACGCAAGAAAAGAAGUUUAGCACGGACCUGGGAAUAUGCUCGGGUGGACAGCAGACAAAGAAGCUGAAGCCCAGAGAGAUGAAGAGACCCCUCCCUAGGAACCCUGCUGGGCAGUGGUAGACCCAGAUCCCUGCAGACUCUGAGAGCUGUGCUGUUUCUACGCGCUUCCUCUCUGUUCUCCAUCCCAUGGCUUUCAAAGGAAGUAAACAUACGAAAUGAGCUCCGUGGGCUUCUUUGCUAGGAAAUGACAUCUUUGGUAAGAGUGCUUCGGUCUCACAUCACCAGGGCCGCCAUAUGGAUCAUACGGCCAGAGACAGCCUCCCCCCACUCCACCGGGCAGGGGUGCCCUCUGAGAAUUAAGGCAGCUUUGGGGACCUUUACUCAGCAGGAUAUUGGCAAGAGUUGGCGGCUCCCUUCUCCUUUGUCUCAUCUGCAUCUAGAAUGACGAUCCACUGACGGGUGGUCGCGAAAUGACUAGACAUCCAGUAGAUGUGAAGGCGAUGGUCUUAAACGGAGAGUUUACAUUUCAUGGAAAAUAAUAAUUCUUUAAAAACCCGGUAAAAUAGCAAAAGUGUCAUAUACAGUACACAGGAACACCCUUAUCUCGGGUAACCUCUGCUAUCAAAAAAAGGCCACAAAAAAGAAGUCAAACGUUACUCAGGAUAAAGCACAUACUCCUCCUCCGUUAAGUGUGGGUGGAAGGUGAGCCCAGAAGGCCUGCCAGCACCUCCAUGAGAACUUCCAAGGGCUUCCUGGGGCCCCCAUCCCCCCCCCCCGGGGGGCCCGGGCUCGGGGCCAGACCCCCCUCACCCCAAGCUCAGGAGCCGACUCCCGAAACAAGGCAGCACCAUGGCGUUGGUUUGGUGUUGGGUCAGCUAGCACCGCAUCUCUGAUUCACCCUCGGGACAGAUGCCUGGAGGCAGAAGGGCCACAUGCAGAUGGAAAGAGAAAACUGCAGGUUCGUGCCCCGCUGUUCCCCAGAGUGACUGAGUCCAUCAAAAAGGGGACAGCUGUGAACAGAUGACGCCCUCUCCCCUCUUCCCUUCUUCCAAUACAUUGCUCUUUUGCUAAGAAACACUCCCUGGCCACUUGACUGGGUUUUGUUUAUUUUUUAACGACAGCCCUGGGUGGGGUAAACCAUAGUGUGCUAGGGAUUUCAAAGUGCUCUGGGCUAAGAGGCAUGGGAUCCGACUUGAGGGUCUGACUGGAUCCCUUAGGAGCUGAGAAAACUUGAACAAGAGCGGCCGAAAUACUGAGCCUUGGUGUUCCCACCUGGGGAAUGGGACAGAAACCAGCCCUGCAAUCCUUGCUGGGAAGAUGGGAGGUGACGGGGAUGAAGAGACUUUGUGUAAAACGACUAGAACACCUAGGGAGGAGUUACUCUUCACGGGAGGAUUUGAAGUCGCUUACGGGACCAGAUCCCACCUGUGAUGGGUCGCCCUUCCCCCAUCUCCCUCGCCCCCACCUUAUUGUUCAGCUCCGUUGGAUGCCCUCAGGCCCCGCCUUCCACAGCAGUCCAAGACACCUGCCACUUGGACUUAGCCUUUGAACUGGCCUUUUUACAUAAAAAUAUCAGAAGUCUUCUGAUUCUCCCACUUUUCUCCAAAAAAUGACCCAAGGACACUGACUUAGUAGGGAAACCUCAGGACCUUCAGAGAGAAGACCACUUCCCUGCCCCACCACUCCCCCUGCCCCCAACAUAACCUUCUUCCACAAACUGCAUGAUUGAUUGAUCGGGCUCAGGGACACCCCAGUCUUAUGCAAAGUACCUUCUGGAUGUGAGUUUUCCUACACUCCCAGUAUGAGCAGCCUAUUUAUUUAUUUAUUUAUGGCCCAAGAUUCCUCAAUAGGGGCUUCCUCAGUCACAACAAGAACCUCUGAAUCUAGAUUUCCAAGGAAAGCAUAAGAGACUCAAACCAUAAACAGAAACCCCAAAUAGAUGCCACCAACUUCCCAAACUACAAAUCUGUUCUCUGAGCUGAAACGCACCACCACCACCACCACCAGAGGGCGCCACUUGCAAAUGUGUACCAGAAGUCAACCUGCAAAUUCUCUAAAACCAUCAUCCUGCUCCAUCAGCUCAGAAUAUCUUCCCCUCGACUUGACUGACCAGGUUGCUAUCUGCUUGGCUCCACCAUGCCCUCAGAUGAAAAGUUAAGACCAUCAGGAGAGACAAAGGGAGUUUUCAGGGCCAACUCCCCACCACUUGAGAGCCCUGGUCCGUGCUGGGUGGGAUUCCCAGGGAAGACCUUUGCAGGUGUCUGUGGACAACAGAUAAACAAACAGCCUAUCAGGAUGCCCUUGGGCAUCCAUCUGUCCCUGUGAGGACGGCAGAGAAUUCCAUAGUACAGACACACUUCUGGCCUCGCUGGGUUCCUGUCCCAAGUCCCCCAGAAAGAUCUCAGAAGCCGCAGAUGGGUUUCUGGGCCCCAUGUGCCCGACAGACCAAGCCCUGCACGUGGCCUCUAUGAGCUCAUCUGGUACUUCUGCAAAACCUCCUCACUGCGGCUCAUCUACAUUUUGCCUCGUGACAUCCAUGGCUCUGGACCCUCUGACCACCAGAAGCUGGAAGAAUGUUCCAGAACACGCACAAGUCAGAUUCAGCUUAGCCAGAGUGAAAACUAACCAUGAAGGAUUCUUCUCACAAGCCUCCAAAGCAUCUAUCCAGACCGAUGACCGGAACAAACCAAGCCACGCUCCCUGAUCAAGGUUCAGACACCAGAAUGCUGACUGGGUGGCAAGAGAGAGAGGGGAUCCCCUGCCCCAGACGCAGCCGGCCUUUUUGUUUGUGUUCGGUUUUAUGGUAUCUGGCCAAAAGCGACAUCCUCUCUCUGAUUUGGCGGGCGGGAUUUCUCCUGUGGCCCCAAAGCACAGCAAAGGUAGUGGUGAAUUCUGCCCGAGCUGUGGAUGGAGCUCAGCUUGGGCCAGAUCCCAGGGUGGGUGAGGCUUUCCCAAAGCAAAAGGGGCUCGAUGGAAGUCACUUUUCCUGUUCCCUCCCCUCCUCCUCCCCCUCCAGACUUUCCAAUCCAAGCUCAAAGCCUCCGGGCCAGAUGAACAGAAGGUGAAUAAAAACGAGGUCACUAAAUCAUUUGUAACUGGGGAAAGAGGGGUAGGGAUGGAGAGAACAUCUUUCGGGAGAGGAGUCCCAAGACUGUGUCCGGGGUGGCAGCAAAGCCUUGGACCUGGACGUCGGCACGGCAGGGUCCCUCCUUGGGGCUCAGAUGGCCAGCCAGUGCUGCAGCUGCAGAGAAAGACGGCAGGGUUGUGAUGCCAAGGCCAGAGGCGGGUGGGGACGAGAGGACCCGGGGCCCAGAAGGACAGCGGAAGCACGGGGAGGCAGAGAACACAGCCCCUCCCUCCAAAGACCCCGGAGAACGUGCAGGCUGACUCCCUAACCGUCACUUGGGCCCAGAAAGGGCGAGGAAGCCUCGCAAAGUGGCACAGCGAGUCUGAAGCAGGGGGCUCACCAGGACCCUCCCCCAGCCCCCAACCCCCAGGGUUUUAAAGUUAAAGGACUUAGGUCAUCCUGUGGCUCAUCCUGCGAGAUAAGAGAUCCCCAGCCUAGGGUGACAACUUACAGAGAGGAAAUAAAGCUUCGGAAAGGCUGGA